This is a non-coding RNA of Pelodiscus sinensis (Chinese soft-shelled turtle), 537 nucleotides long. NCBI's taxonomy places the organism in Eukaryota, Metazoa, Chordata, Testudines, Trionychidae. The record is from RefSeq and is a predicted model, not a curated record.
GAAUUCACAAGGCAAGGGACACUGUUAGGAGUACUGCAUGAAAUAGAUCGACAUAGUAGUUCAAAGCUCUAGUGUCUCGUUAGAGAGCUAGCAAUCGGUUCCGAUCCUUCUCAUACUUAAAUCAGUGGAGUUUUGAAAGUAUAUCCAAGUGGGAAAAGGCUCAGACUCAAAAUCCCAUGUGAUCCCUCCAGAACUGCCUGGCUUCUCAACUGGAGUAUACAAUUAUGGCUUCAUACUGAGUUUUUACCAUUUCUGUCAGGGCCUGAUCCAAAUCCCAUAGGAGUCAAUGCAAAGGCUAUCAUGGUAUCAUUGAGUUUCAGAUCAGGGAGAACGUAAUCGCUUAUACCUUGGAUAUCAGUAUGGAUUUUAACAGACCAUACAUCAUUUCUCACUUAUGCUAAGGAGCUGAUUCAAACCCGAAGCUGAAAUGGCACUCUCUGAUUCAUGUACAGCACAAACAGCUCCAGUCACUAUAAGAUUAUGUUAAUAUGAAUAACAACGACAAUCAUGAUAUUAAAGCGAAAAGCAAAAGUGUGA